RNAcentral lists this ribosomal RNA (301 nucleotides) under uncultured bacterium. RNAcentral's name for it is "partial 16S ribosomal RNA". It matches the Rfam family "Bacterial small subunit ribosomal RNA", at positions 509 to 807 of the family's 1533-position model. The record is from RNAcentral.
CAGUAGCCGCGGGAAUACGUAGGUGGCAAGCGUUAUCCGGAAUUAUUGGGCGUAAAGCGCGCGUAGGCGGUUUUUUAAGUCUGAUGUGAAAGCCCCCGGCUCAACCGGGGAGGGUCAUUGGAAACUGGGAAACUUGAGUGCAGAAGAGGAGAGUGGAAUUCCACGUGUAGCGGUGAAAUGCGUAGAGAUGUGGAGGAACACCAGUGGCGAAGGCGACUCUCUGGUCUGUAACUGACGCUGAGGAGCGAAAGCGUGGGGAGCGAACAGGAUUAGAUACCCCCGUAGUCCCUGUCUCUUAUAC